GGGCCUGUGGUCGAAUGGUAAGACGCUAUCUUCGCAAGGUAGAGAUUAAGGGUUCAAAUCCCUUCAGGUCCA
This 72-nucleotide transfer RNA is filed under the name Microcaldota archaeon. Its description in RNAcentral is "Candidatus Micrarchaeota archaeon (hot springs metagenome) tRNA-Ala". It matches the Rfam family "tRNA". From Rfam's summary of the family: Transfer RNA (tRNA) molecules are approximately 80 nucleotides in length. Their secondary structure includes four short double-helical elements and three loops (D, anti-codon, and T loops). Further hydrogen bonds mediate the characteristic L-shaped molecular structure. tRNAs have two regions of fundamental functional importance: the anti-codon, which is responsible for specific mRNA codon recognition, and the 3' end, to which the tRNAs corresponding amino acid is attached (by aminoacyl-tRNA synthetases). tRNAs cope with the degeneracy of the genetic code in two manners: having more than one tRNA (with a specific anti-codon) for a particular amino acid; and 'wobble' base-pairing, i.e. permitting non-standard base-pairing at the 3rd anti-codon position. Lineage: Archaea; Nanobdellati; Microcaldota. The record is from RNAcentral.